Molecule: long non-coding RNA, 354 nt
Filed under: Anas platyrhynchos platyrhynchos (common mallard)
Lineage: Eukaryota; Metazoa; Chordata; Aves; Anseriformes; Anatidae
Description: lncRNA (ENSAPLG00000018513.1)
Source: RNAcentral
GCAGAAACCCUUUAUCCCAUCUAUUUCAUUAGAGUUUCAGGCAGCUGUGAAGGAAUCAUUUGAGCCUAACGUUUCUCUGCUUCUCAGCUGGUUGUGCUGGAGAGCCUGAGCAGGCCCCUGCUGAGUGUGCCAAAGGUAGCAAUAAAGCUGGGUAACUUGCUGCAACAAGCAGAGAGAGGAUAUAGGAGAAAAGAAGAGUGCUGGGGAGGUUCAGCUGUGCCCAUCAGUAGCAUUUUGCAUUUCCUGAGCACCAGACUGGUACCAGAUCUACGGCCUGCCCGAAGACCAGGUAAGAGAUAAGGAGUGAGUGCAAAGGGUACAAAGCAGCAUCAGAUGCUGUAAGCCAGUGCAAUA